RNAcentral lists this long non-coding RNA (303 nucleotides) under Lathyrus oleraceus (garden pea). RNAcentral's name for it is "Pisum sativum (pea) long non-coding RNA (PSAT_LNC003756)". Lineage: Eukaryota; Viridiplantae; Streptophyta; Magnoliopsida; Fabales; Fabaceae. The record is from RNAcentral.
AAAAAGAUUAAGAAAAACAACCAUCGAAAAAAAAAGGAAACAAAAGAAAAGAGAAAUUUGAUGGAACGAGAAAAAGCACUCACCGAAUGAGAAACACUCAGUUGGGUAUAAAAAAAUUUCCAAAAAAAAAGAACUGAGUAACGAAACUGAAAAAGAAAAAGAAAUGUAAAUGAUAUGUUUGAGAAAACAUAGUGAAAAGAAUAAUGACAUUGACUCUGAACCCAAAACCAUUUGGUUUUCCUUUUGUUUGUGUUUACACCACCGUAACCCAAAACCCGUUACAACCCAAAAGACCUAAAAAAG